ACCAGUGUGGUGUAGUGGUUUAAGCAUUAGACUAGGAUUCUGGAGACCAGGGUUCGAUUCCUCACUCGAC
RNAcentral lists this transfer RNA (70 nucleotides) under Phrynosoma platyrhinos (Desert horned lizard). RNAcentral describes it as "tRNA-OTHER". Lineage: Eukaryota; Metazoa; Chordata; Lepidosauria; Squamata; Phrynosomatidae. The record is from RNAcentral.